CUUGCUUCCCUUUCCUCGAGGAACGAGGUUGUCCCUGCAAUUGAACAGUUGAAGGGCUGUCACCUCUGUCCCUUUUGCUGGACGUGGCUGCAGAGAAAUGGGAAGAGGGUGUUCUUUCAAGCAGAAGGGUAUCAAUGGGGUUCAGCUGUAGGGGUGUCUGCCUCACCAGAACUUACGCCUGCAGCAGAUGCUCUCUAAUCAAAUGGCCAAGUGCUUCAUCAAUGCAACAACUGUUGUUCUGGACAUGGGUAAUGCUCAGCUUUGCUUCCUUCACCGAGAGAUGUCUUGCUUCAGAC
Tyto alba (common barn owl) is the source of this 296-nucleotide long non-coding RNA. RefSeq lists it as uncharacterized. The record is from RefSeq and is a predicted model, not a curated record. The transcript is spliced from 3 exons. NCBI's taxonomy places the organism in Eukaryota, Metazoa, Chordata, Aves, Strigiformes, Tytonidae.